GGGGUGCUCACAUGCUGCAGGUUCCUUACAUGUGCUUGUUUCCUUCCCUAAACUGAAGGUAACUUUGAAGGCAGUCUUUUUCCACAUCCAUCAAGUGCUCUGGGGAAGAACACUUCUUAGCUAUUCCAUCAACACUCUUGCCAGUCUAAUCUCACCAUCAGUUUCCCCUGGCCUGCCCUUUGUCUGAAACUUUGAAGGUUAGCAAUUUGGAGAGCUAUCAGAGUGGAAGCAUGGGUUGGAAUGGUAAUGGCAUUGAAUGUCUUCAUGUGUUUUACUUUUUUCAGGUCUUAUCGAAUGUUACUUAGCCUCCAACAGUAUUCGAGAAGCAAUGGUAAUGGCUAACAACGUUUACAAAACUCUGGGAGCAAAUGCACAGACCCUUACCCUUUUAGCCACUGUUUGUCUUGAAGACCCAGUGACACAGGAGAAAGCCAAAACAUUAUUAGAUAAAGCCCUGACCCAAAGGCCAGAUUACAUUAAGGCUGUGGUGAAAAAAGCAGAACUACUUAGCAGGGAACAGAAAUACGAAGAUGGAAUUGCUUUGCUGAGGAACGCACUGGCUAAUCAGAGUGACUGUGUCCUGCAUCGGAUCCUAGGAGAUUUCCUUGUAGCUGUCAAUGAGUAUCAGGAGGCAAUGGACCAGUAUAGUAUAGCACUAAGUUUGGACCCCAAUGACCAGAAGUCUCUAGAGGGGAUGCAGAAGAUGGAGAAGGAGGAGAGUCCCACGGAUGCCACUCAGGAGGAGGAU
RNAcentral lists this small RNA (748 nucleotides) under Pongo abelii (Sumatran orangutan). RNAcentral's name for it is "retained intron". Lineage: Eukaryota; Metazoa; Chordata; Mammalia; Primates; Hominidae. The record is from RNAcentral.